Molecule: non-coding RNA, 95 nt
Organism: Tribolium castaneum (red flour beetle)
Lineage: Eukaryota; Metazoa; Arthropoda; Insecta; Coleoptera; Tenebrionidae
Source: RefSeq, marked provisional
CUCUUUUCGCAUUAUCUUUCGUGCGAUCUUUCCAUUCCUACUUGUUGUUUGAUAAGUAGUACGGAAUUAUCUCACAUUAGAUAUUGGGAGUUUUC